CAGCACAGGAGAGCUUGCUCUCUGGGUGGCGAGUGGCGGACGGGUGAGGAAUACAUCGGAAUCUACUUUUUCGUGGGGGAUAACGUAGGGAAACUUACGCUAAUACCGCAUACGACCUACGGGUGAAAGCAGGGGAUCUUCGGACCUUGCGCGAUUGAAUGAGCCGAUGUCGGAUUAGCUAGUUGGCGGGGUAAAGGCCCACCAAGGCGACGAUCCGUAGCUGGUCUGAGAGGAUGAUCAGCCACACUGGAACUGAGACACGGUCCAGACUCCUACGGGAGGCAGCAGUGGGGAAUAUUGGACAAUGGGCGCAAGCCUGAUCCAGCCAUACCGCGUGGGUGAAGAAGGCCUUCGGGUUGUAAAGCCCUUUUGUUGGGAAAGAAAUCCAGCUGGCUAAUACCCGGUUGGGAUGACGGUACCCAAAGAAUAAGCACCGGCUAAC
This 442-nucleotide ribosomal RNA is filed under the name Stenotrophomonas maltophilia. RNAcentral describes it as "bacterial SSU rRNA". It matches the Rfam family "Bacterial small subunit ribosomal RNA", at positions 67 to 501 of the family's 1533-position model. Lineage: Bacteria; Pseudomonadati; Pseudomonadota; Gammaproteobacteria; Lysobacterales; Lysobacteraceae. The record is from RNAcentral.